Molecule: ribosomal RNA, 441 nt
Filed under: uncultured bacterium
Lineage: Bacteria
Description: partial 16S ribosomal RNA
Rfam family: Bacterial small subunit ribosomal RNA
Source: RNAcentral
CCUACGGGAGGCAGCAGUGGGGGAUAUUGCACAAUGGGGGGAACCCUGAUGCAGCGACGCCGCGUGGGUGAAGGAGCGUUUCGGCGCGUAAAGCCCUAUCGGCAGGGAAGAAGGAGGACGGUACCUGACUAAGAAGCCCCGGCUAACUACGUGCCAGCAGCCGCGGUAGUACGUAGGGGGCAAGCGUUAGCCGGAGUUACUGGGUGUAAAGGGGGCGCAGACGGCGGCGCAAGCACGGAGUGCAAGCCCGGGGACUAUCCCCGGGACUGCUCUUGGAACUGCGCGGCUGGAGUGCAGGAGGGGCAGGCGGAAUUCCUGGUGUAGCGGUGAAAUGCGUAGAUAUCAGGAGGAACACCGGUGGCGAAGGCGGCCUGCUGGACUGCGACUGACGUUGAGGCCCGAAAGCGUGGGGAGCAAACAGGAUUAGAUACCCCAGUAGUC